This 484-nucleotide ribosomal RNA is filed under the name uncultured bacterium. Its description in RNAcentral is "partial 16S ribosomal RNA". It matches the Rfam family "Bacterial small subunit ribosomal RNA", at positions 29 to 507 of the family's 1533-position model. The record is from RNAcentral.
AUUGAACGCUGGCGGCAUGCUUUACGCAUGCAAGUCGAACGGCAGCGCGGGCUUUGGCCUGGCGGCGAGUGGCGAACGGGUGAGUAAUACAUCGGAACGUGCCCAGUAGUGGGGGAUAGCUCGGCGAAAGCCGGACUAAUACCGCAUACGACCUGAGGGUGAAAGCGGGGGAUCUUCGGACCUCGCGCUAUUGGAGGGGCCGAGGGCAGAUUAGCUAGUUGGUGGGGUAAAGGCCUACCAAGGCGACGAUCUGUAGCUGGUCUGAGAGGACGACCAGCCACACUGGAACUGAGACACGGCCCAGACUCCUACGGGAGGCAGCAGUGGGGAAUUUUGGACAAUGGGCGAAAGCCUGAUCCAGCAAUGCCGCGUGUGUGACGAAGGCCUUCGGGUUGUAAAGCACUUUUGGCUGGAACGAAAAGGACUGUGCUAAUACCACGGUUCGAUGACGGUACCCGCAGAAUAAGCACCGGCUAACUACGUG